This 278-nucleotide long non-coding RNA is filed under the name Phasianus colchicus (ring-necked pheasant). RNAcentral's name for it is "lncRNA (ENSPCLG00000003026.1)". The record is from RNAcentral. Lineage: Eukaryota; Metazoa; Chordata; Aves; Galliformes; Phasianidae.
AUUUGCUGCUGGUAUUUUGCACCACCUGUCGUUGCCAAACAGACUAACAGCCUUUCCCAAGGAGAUACAGAUCUUUAGGUUAGCUGCUCCACCUGGGUCACAGAGACCAACACUGGUUUGAGAUGACACUAAGUCAGAAGUGGAUGAAAAAUUUCUCAGACUGGCACUGGAAAGAAAAGGCAGAACUUAUUACUUAUGAAAUGAAAAUGUCGUGAAUCUUCCUGAGGACUCAGAGGCACAUAGAACAAACUGGUGAAUGUUAUUAAAUAGAAAUUUGU